This is a long non-coding RNA of Amborella trichopoda, 783 nucleotides long. RefSeq lists it as uncharacterized. Lineage: Eukaryota; Viridiplantae; Streptophyta; Magnoliopsida; Amborellales; Amborellaceae. The record is from RefSeq and is a predicted model, not a curated record.
UUGAAGGAAUGCAUUCGGGCUAGGGUUAGAAAAGGUCCUCUGAGCAUUUGUUGCCAUUCGAAAAGUUCGAUGACUCUCUCGGCUGGUAUUUGUUGCCAUUCAAAAUCGUCAGCAACCAUUGCAAUUACAGCACCUUAAGCAAGCCGUCUCUCUAUCGUGGCUUUUAGAGUACGACAUCCAGAACAAUCUCUCUAGGAUGGACCUAAAGCUGGACACCAAGAAUGUAAUUGACAUGGAGGUGGAGAGUAUUUCAGAUGUUCAUGUUGUCGAGGAGCAUAGCGAUAAUGAAACGGAUGAUAUUACACAUGUGGGUGGUGAUAAUGGCAGUGACUCUUAUGCAAGUCAGGAUGAGACUUGGACAGUAGAGACAAUAACUUCUGAAUGUAAUGAAAGAGUUGAUGAUCUUGGAUAGAGGUUGACAAGUGGUGGAUAUGAUUUCCAUUUUGGAGAGCAAUCAAAGCUUAUAAUAACAUCAAAGAAUUGGUGGAUAUGUGGUGAGUAGUCAAAGUUUAUGAUGUAAGUAUAUGGGUUUUUUUUUUUUGUUUGAACAAGUUGGACACCUAACUUGAAAUUGAAAGUGUGGUUGAGAGUGCUAUUUAAGAAUGUGUAUGUGGUGUGGUGUGGCCGCUUAAUGAAGCUGGUGUGCUUCUAAAAGUUACUCUUUCCUUCCCCAUUCACAGAUCAACACAUAUCUUGACAAAGAAGCAUUUUGAUUUAUUUUAUGAUUUCAUCAUUUUUGUUUUUCUUUUUUCUUUUUGUUACUUUUGGGGAUGGAGGGUUGGA